Molecule: long non-coding RNA, 274 nt
Organism: Oreochromis aureus
Lineage: Eukaryota; Metazoa; Chordata; Actinopteri; Cichliformes; Cichlidae
Exons: 3
Source: RefSeq, a predicted model, not a curated record
ACUUCAGUCUCUGCAGAGGACUCUGGCUUAAUAGUCCACAGGUUAGCUGCUCGGACUCUUAUUUGCUUGCUAGAGAUGGAAGCAGAAAACAAUGAGGAAAAAGAAGAAGUAAAAAAGAAGGUGGUGCAGCUGAGUGUCCAAUCGGGAGUGAGCAGUUCUUUCACUGCUUUCAUUGUUGUCAAUACAGACAACAACAAGGAGAUUCAAGGACCUCUUCUGCACCGAGAUAUUCCAAUGGCUGGUCUAAUGAGAUGUGCUGCUACCCCUUGCUGUU